GAUGAAGAACGCAGUGAAAUACGAUAAUUAAUGUGAAUUGCAGAAUUCCGUGAAUCAUCGAGUCUUUGAACGCACAUUGCGCCUCAUGGCAUUCCGUGAGGCAUGCCCAUCUCAGCGUUAGAAAAUAUUCUCAAAUUUUAGUUUUGUGCUAAAAUUUGGAUCAUGUCAAAGAAGCUAUUACUAUUAUUGUGAUCGCUCUUUGGAAAUUGAUAGGUCUUUGAGUUGCUACUCAUAGAACGUGAUGAAUCUUUCUUCGUUCUAUUGUAAUUCACUCUGGUAGUCCUAAAACUUGUAUGCCUGUGGCAUAUCUUGUAAUUUGACCUGAGAUUGGGUAGGGAUACCCGCUGAACUUAAGCAUAUCAAUAAGCGGAGGA
This 374-nucleotide unclassified non-coding RNA is filed under the name soil metagenome. RNAcentral describes it as "partial contains internal transcribed spacer 2 and large subunit ribosomal RNA". The stretch from base 1 to 120 matches the Rfam family "5.8S ribosomal RNA", at positions 35 to 154 of the family's 154-position model. The record is from RNAcentral.